RNAcentral lists this ribosomal RNA (372 nucleotides) under uncultured bacterium. RNAcentral's name for it is "bacterial SSU rRNA". It matches the Rfam family "Bacterial small subunit ribosomal RNA", at positions 524 to 898 of the family's 1533-position model. The record is from RNAcentral.
UACGGAGGGUGCAAGCGUUAUCCGGAUUCACUGGGUUUAAAGGGUGCGUAGGCGGGUAGUUAAGUCAGUGGUGAAAUCUCGGAGCUUAACUCCGAAACUGCCAUUGAUACUAUCUAUCUUGAAUAUUGUGGAGGUUUGCGGAAUAUGUCAUGUAGCGGUGAAAUGCUUAGAUAUGACAUAGAACACCUAUUGCGAAGGCAGCAGGCUACACAUAUAUUGACGCUGAGGCACGAAAGCGUGGGGAUCAAACAGGAUUAGAUACCCUGGUAGUCCACGCCCUAAACGAUGAUUACUCGACAUACGCGAUACACUGUGUGUGUCUGAGCGAAAGCAUUAAGUAAUCCACCUGGGAAGUACGUCCGCAAGGAUGAA